CUUAGAAACAAUAGCUACAGGGGUACACCCAGCAACAUUCCGAACCUGGAAGUUAAGCCUGUAAACGCUGAAAGUACUUGGGGGGCAGCCCUCUGGGAGGAUAGGAAGUUUCUAAGC
This 117-nucleotide ribosomal RNA is filed under the name Fusobacterium sp. The record is from RNAcentral. RNAcentral also lists the same sequence under 1 other name. Lineage: Bacteria; Fusobacteriati; Fusobacteriota; Fusobacteriia; Fusobacteriales; Fusobacteriaceae.